AUGGCCACAUUAUGUUGAAACACUACUUCCUGUCUAAUCACCAAAGUUAAGCAGUGUCAAGUCUGGUCAGUACCUAGAUGGGUGACCACUUGGGAAUAACAGAUGCUGUAAG
This is a non-coding RNA of Acanthosepion pharaonis, 112 nucleotides long. NCBI's taxonomy places the organism in Eukaryota, Metazoa, Mollusca, Cephalopoda, Sepiida, Sepiidae. The record is from the annotation of a GenBank genome assembly.